UGACCGCUGGCGGCAGGCCUAACACAUGCAAGUCGAACGGUAACAGGAAACAGCUUGCUGUUUCGCUGACGAGUGGCGGACGGGUGAGUAAUGUCUGGGAAACUGCCUGAUGGAGGGGGAUAACUACUGGAAACGGUAGCUAAUACCGCAUAACGUCGCAAGACCAAAGAGGGGGACCCUCGGGCCUCUUGCCAUCGGAUGUGCCCAGAUGGGAUUAGCUUGUUGGUGGGGUAACGGCUCACCAAGGCGACGAUCCCUAGCUGGUCUGAGAGGAUGACCAGCCACACUGGAACUGAGACACGGUCCAGACUCCUACGGGAGGCAGCAGUGGGGAAUAUUGCACAAUGGGCGCAAGCCUGAUGCAGCCAUGCCGCGUGUAUGAAGAAGGCCUUCGGGUUGUAAAGUACUUUCAGCGGGGAGGAAGGGAGUAAAGUUAAUACCUUUGCUCAUUGACGUUACCCGCAGAAGAAGCACCGGCUAACUCCGUG
This 488-nucleotide ribosomal RNA is filed under the name uncultured bacterium. Its description in RNAcentral is "partial 16S ribosomal RNA". It matches the Rfam family "Bacterial small subunit ribosomal RNA", at positions 30 to 507 of the family's 1533-position model. The record is from RNAcentral.